Molecule: ribosomal RNA, 443 nt
Filed under: uncultured bacterium
Lineage: Bacteria
Description: partial 16S ribosomal RNA
Rfam family: Bacterial small subunit ribosomal RNA
Source: RNAcentral
CCUACGGGUGGCAGCAGUGGGGAAUAUUGGGCAAUGGGCGCAAGCCUGACCCAGCAACGCCGCGUGAAGGAAGCAGGCUCUAGGGUUGUAAACUUCUUUUAUCAGGGACGAAGCAAGUGACGGUACCUGAUGAAUAAGCCACGGCUGACUAAGUGCAAGCAGCGGCGGGAAUACGUAGGUCGCAACCGUUAUCCGGAUUUACGGGGUGUACAGGGCGUGUAGGCGGGAAGGCAAGUCAGAUGUGAAAACAAUGGGCCCAACCUGUGGCCUGCAUUUGAAACUGUUUUUCUUGAGUACUGGAGAGGCAGGCGGAAUUCGUGGGGUAGCGGUGAAAUGCGGAGAUAUUAGGAGGAACACCAGUGGCGAAGGCAGUCUGCUGGACAGCAACUGACGCUGAGGCGCGAAAGCGUGGGGAGCAAACAGGAUUAGAUACCCGAGUAGUC